Molecule: unclassified non-coding RNA, 256 nt
Filed under: Hevea brasiliensis (rubber tree)
Lineage: Eukaryota; Viridiplantae; Streptophyta; Magnoliopsida; Malpighiales; Euphorbiaceae
Source: RNAcentral
GGAACAGGAGAAUUGCAACGGAACUUAAGCGGGUAUCGCUGAAGCUUUCUGACGGUGCUCAUGGGUACAACAUAGAAUUUCUGGCCUAGCAUCAGUAUGGUGUCCUGUGGAACAAUAGCCCAAGGCUCCUGGAAGAUAUGUGGGCAAGCAACGACGCAUUUUGGGUUCCUGAGCAUGAUCUCUGAUGCAAGAAUAGGUCUGUCAUGGAGCUCUUUGCGUCCUCCAGGAUGAACAAUCUUGACGAACAUGUUCUUAG